UUUUUUCUGACUGACGGCCGGAAUGCCGCCAAAAGGCUGAUAACAUCGACUGAUUUCUAGUCUGGAUGUAGUCGGCAACGUCGGAGAUGUAUUUUGGAUCCUCUUCUUGUGAAUGCCAUAGUAUCGAUGAUAACAUCAACUGUUUGUGGUCAUGUCGUCUGCAUCGGAGGUGUAUUGGAGUCUUUUCCUGUGAUUGCCGUCGUAGCGGUGCUAACAACAGGUGAGCUUCCAUCAACUUAACUAACGUUAAUGUUACUAAAUUAGCCAAAUUAGCCUCUAGCUGCUGUUCUCCACUA
This is a long non-coding RNA of Sinocyclocheilus rhinocerous, 296 nucleotides long. RefSeq lists it as uncharacterized. The transcript is spliced from 3 exons. Lineage: Eukaryota; Metazoa; Chordata; Actinopteri; Cypriniformes; Cyprinidae. The record is from RefSeq and is a predicted model, not a curated record.